This 752-nucleotide ribosomal RNA is filed under the name Streptomycetaceae bacterium. Its description in RNAcentral is "bacterial SSU rRNA". It matches the Rfam family "Bacterial small subunit ribosomal RNA", at positions 95 to 859 of the family's 1533-position model. Lineage: Bacteria; Bacillati; Actinomycetota; Actinomycetes; Kitasatosporales; Streptomycetaceae. The record is from RNAcentral.
GUGGCGAACGGGUGAGUAACACGUGGGCAAUCUGCCCUUCACUCUGGGACAAGCCCUGGAAACGGGGUCUAAUACCGGAUAACACUCUCCAAAGCAUUUUGGGGGGUUAAAAGCUCCGGCGGUGAAGGAUGAGCCCGCGGCCUAUCAGCUUGUUGGUGGGGUAAUGGCCUACCAAGGCGACGACGGGUAGCCGGCCUGAGAGGGCGACCGGCCACACUGGGACUGAGACACGGCCCAGACUCCUACGGGAGGCAGCAGUGGGGAAUAUUGCACAAUGGGCGAAAGCCUGAUGCAGCGACGCCGCGUGAGGGAUGACGGCCUUCGGGUUGUAAACCUCUUUCAGCAGGGAAGAAGCGAAAGUGACGGUACCUGCAGAAGAAGCGCCGGCUAACUACGUGCCAGCAGCCGCGGUAAUACGUAGGGCGCAAGCGUUGUCCGGAAUUAUUGGGCGUAAAGAGCUCGUAGGCGGCUUGUCACGUCGGAUGUGAAAGCCCGGGGCUUAACCCCGGGUCUGCAUUCGAUACGGGCUAGCUAGAGUGUGGUAGGGGAGAUCGGAAUUCCUGGUGUAGCGGUGAAAUGCGCAGAUAUCAGGAGGAACACCGGUGGCGAAGGCGGAUCUCUGGGCCAUUACUGACGCUGAGGAGCGAAAGCGUGGGGAGCGAACAGGAUUAGAUACCCUGGUAGUCCACGCCGUAAACGUUGGGAACUAGGUGUUGGCGACAUUCCACGUCGUCGGUGCCGCAGCUAACGCA